UAAUUGCACAAUCAGAGUUUAAAACUUCUUCUGAUUAAAUUGUGCAAAGCCUCUAAACUAAUUGUCUGAAAAUGUCUUCUGGGUUGAGCAUUUUCUUAGAUAAAAUUUGGAUGUGACAAUCAAAGGCUUGGUUUUUCUACUGGUGUGCAAUAUUUUGGGGAGGUAGCUUGGCCUGGGUGAAUUGGUGGCUUUGGGAAAUAGAACAGUAAUAUUAUUGCUUUGCUUAAGUAUCUAUAUUUUAGAAGCAUUUUUCCAUUAGAAAUUUAAUUUGUAUACAUGAAGUGUUUGGAAAGAUUAGACAGGAGGGAAGAAGGAUCUGUUUUGAGUUUAAAUACUUUUUUUGCCUGUUUUUUGCUAAUGUAGGCCUGAAAAUAGAUUUGAUAAUAAUAAUACCUUAUGUUUUUGAGGUAAGUUGCUUCUUUUUCUCUGCUCUCAAGGUAGACUUCGCAUCAAUGCAUUUUGGGGACACAUCAGCCUUCUCCAUCUACCUUGUCCUUGUGUCAAUAUUGAGCGUUAGCUGUACUUUCUUGGCUGCCACAGUUCAGGAUCAGUUUGAGAGCCAUCAGCAAAUGCCCAGUGCUCAAGUUCACCAAGUGACACAUACUGUUUGACACAGACAGUGUCUUGGGCAGAAUUCUCAUUUUUAUGCCUGUAAAACAACAAAAAGCCCAAACAAACUAACAACAAAAAAAAACCAAACAAGAACAAAAGCAUGAAAUGAAUAGCAAUGUCCCAUCUGUUUGCAUUGUCCACUUGGGCUGCUGCUGUCUGAGGUGUCAGGAUGGAGAAUAACAUAAAACAAACCACCACUAAAAUGAAAGAGGGUGAGAAGCACCUCAAAGGUAAGAAAAACUGUGCCAUGUAACAGAAGAUUCUGUGCAGCCUGAGAGUGCUCAUUCCCCGUUGCAGCAGGUUCAGGCUUAGGUGUGUAGUUAGAGCUUUUACAUGACUAUUGUUUCUAGGAGCAGAUCUUAUACCUACAGUUCGGUCAGCAUUGACACAUUGACAUGUCAAAACAGAAGAGAGUUUUUAUACAUAUAUAUAUAUAUAUAUACACACACACAUAUAUAUAUAUAUACACAUUUUUUUUUUUUUUUUUUUUUUUGGUGCGUUACCUGGCCCUAAUUUUCUAACCCUGCCCCCAGUGUAAUGAAUCCAGAUUCAGUUCUCUCUGGCUUGUUUGACUAUUAAUUUUGUCAGUGCUGUGCCUUCCCCUGUACUAGCCUACAUUUGCACAAGGGUUCUUACAAGACCGUAAAUGUAGUUAUCCCAUGUUAUUUUGUAAGAAGACUAACAAGCUUCCUUGAGCUCAACUAUGUGCUGUUCUGGUCGGAGUAAAAAGAAACACCUUGGAGGGCAGGAUGCCUUCAAAUUGGUGCAGCAGUUGCAGUAGAAAGAGCAGAUGGGAGAACAGAGGCACUGAGCUGCCUUCCCUUUCCUUGGGGAUGACAGGAGAGGGGCAUAUGAGAUAAUAGGUAUGAGAGAUCUCAUUUCACCCCUUCACAGAGAAGGGUCUCUAUGAAAAAAUGCUGGCUCGCUCUUGCGGUGAAGCUCUCCAUUGCUACUGCAACAACUGUAAUCUCCUCAGUGAGUUUCCAAAUAUGAAUUACCUGUCUGUUGUGUGGUUAUAUUUAUUUAUUUAUUUACUUUUUCUGAAGGUGCAAAUAUAAAUGUCUUUUAAUGUGUUUCUAAGGUUCAAAAGGAAAGACUUCUGCACUGAUUUAAUUACCUGAAACCUUCUUACUCUGAUAUACAUUUUUGUGGAGCAACUAGCUGUCAUUUAGCUUGAUUUAGGCACUUUACUCAUAUCAAUUAACUGGAUAAUGAGCCACAGGCAAGAGUUAAGUAUCUCACAACUAUUUAUCCCCAUUUUAUCAUUCACUCCAAGAGAAAACAGAAUUUCCCCAAAUGUUCUGAAAAUACGUCUAUUUUAAUAGACUGAAAUUGUCACAACUUUUUUUUGUCCUCACUGUUCUAUAUUAUCAUCAAAUCAGUUUUUACAUUGUUCUUAACUUCUCAUUUGAACUGUGUAAGGAUAUUAUUAUGUCUUGAAAUCAUGAGGCCAUUCAUGUUACCUGAAUAUUUGCACCUAUCACUUAAAUUGUGUAGCUUGCAUCAGUAGUUCUGUGCAUGUUUGUUUGGUAGAUAAUAGAUGAGAGAAGUCAAAUGAAUGAUAUUCUGUGAUUUUUUUUUUUAUUUUUUUUUUUUUUUUGUGGCUUUGUAAACCAUUUGUAACAUGGCCCAAAAUAUUUUGAGAUAAAGGGUGAUACACCAACUAAUGGGAACAUUAAGCAAUAUGUGUUCCUAAACCAGACUUUAUUCACCACUGAAAAAUAAAUGCAAAGAAAAUACUUUGCAAAGGUAUUAAACAUUUAACAGUCUUAAAAAAUUAUUUUAAAUAACUGAGUGGCUCAUUCCCCUAACCAAAUAUGCUUUUGGAUUACUUUCUGGGAGAUGUUGAUUUUUAUACAAUGGUAAUAGUCCUCUUCAGAUUUUCACAUGUGUUGAUAAUUACAUCAAAACACUUCUAGAAUUCACCUUAUGAAGCAUUUGAGGAACUUUUAAAAUUAAGUCUAGUACUUGUAGCUGUAUUAUCAGUUGAAUAACUACUUGAUUUGUAUCUACCUUUUGGUUUAUAUGCUCUCACCUAGGUAUGUUGGUCAGCUUAGUAAUACUAAGCCCUCCUGAUUUUGACAAGAGGACACAGCUUUCCGUGGCAGUCACUUUUCACAGUGUGGAUGGACUUUCAGGGUUCCUGGAGUGCGAGUGCCUUGUAUCUUAGAGAUAUCCCAUCUGUGAGUAGAUGAUGUGAUUAAUUUCAAGGAGCCUGGAAUGUCACAAUUGCUGUGCAGAAGUGCUGGAUCUGAGACUUUUCUGUCCACAUGAACAGACCCAAAUUUUAGUCUGGGUUCAAAUAUAUGCCUAGAGUAAUUAAUCACAUGUAUAUAAAGAUUUUUUUUUUCCUUUCAGAUUUAUAUUACUGUUACUUGUUUCAAAGUAUGUAAGUCUUAUAUGUUCUUAUCAGAAAAAGUAUAGCAAUAAGAAAUUUUACAUUAGUCCUAAGCUAGACCUUGAAAAUUACGCAUGAGGGUUUUAAAGUUUUAAUAUGUGUUUCUGAACAAUCAGUAUUUUCUCUUUUGAGGGGAUUAAUGAAACUCUUUAAAGCUGCAUUUUGUGAUGGCCUGCAGCAUAUUACUGAGGGCUCAUUAUCUUGUCAAAGCUCCUAAAAUACGGGCUCUGCAGGAGUGAUGUUGUUACUCAGUGAGUUGAUAUGGAGUUAGUCCAUUUGCAUGGUGCUAGGAGGAAAAAUGCUACAGUAGAUAGAGAUGGAGAUGAAAAUGCAGGACCCUGUGAGACUUUACCCACUGUACUGAUUCUAAAUUUGUUUUGGACAAAUUAGAUUUGUUGCUCUUCAGUUUUCCUUCCGAAAACUCUCUUGUGGCUUUAUUGUCAGCUGAAGUGUUUACUGACUGAGAAGCGCUUGCAUUUUACUGAUGGAUAUGGUGAUCCUGGUAAACACUUUGGGGCCUUUGUGAUGCAAUAUGCUGUGUAAGUGUUUGUGUCAUUUUAUGAUUGAGAGGGCAGAAGCUCAUUUAAAUAAAAAGUAGAAUAAAAAGCCCAGAAUUCCAGCACCCACCAGUAUCAUUAAAGCUAAUACAGUGAUAAAAGUUAAACAAUAUAAAGAUGUCUUAAAAUAGAAAAGUAACACAGUAUCCAAUGCUACUAUUGGGGGGAAAGUGCCAAUGUUCUCAUUAUUUUUAAUGACUUCCAAACCUGGGCCCUUAGUGACCAGUGAGAUAUGCAAUUUCAGAUGGGAAACAUAGUUUCUUCAGUGCUAGCAGGUACUGAAUGUCCUCAGUUGUUAGGGGCCAUUGUCGUGCUCAGGAUGCUCUGAAAGGCAGCAGACAAAUCAUAAGUUGGAUGCUAUGAUGGACAGUUCCUUAGGAAGGGAAGAGAGAAAAAGUAAGUAUUUGCUAGGGUGUUUAAUAAAAUAGAACAAUCUGGAUGAUAAAAAUUGGUGAUGACACAGCUCCUGAACAAACAUCUAUCACUGCAGAAUGAUAGGUGCUAGAGAAUAUUUCUGCAGAUCUUCAGAUUCUAUCCCAAUAUUAAAGAAAGGGCAAAAAGCCAACUUCAGUAAUUGUUUCUGUUUAUUAAAAGAAGAUAAGCAUGUUAUGAAGAUCUGGAAGUUGAUGAUGAAGUGACAUGUGUGAGAGGUGUUUAUGUUGGAAGCAGGUUGCCUGUGGUUCACAUGUGCCCAUCGUUCCCUUCCGGCACUGCCAAAGCUGCUGGGGAGCAGUGUCCCUCACAAAACCCACCAGCACUCAGCUUCUCUGCUGGUGGGAAGGCAGCACUUGGAUGUUCCCUCCUGUGUAGGCAGGAGUUUGCAGAAGCAGCUUGUCCAAGGGGUCUUGGGGCAGGAUCCUAAGUUGAACUCCCCCUCAGCUGCCUGCGGGGCUGCUCAGCCGUCUGGGAAUUAAGCAAGACAUGCUAGUCAGGAGUAUUGAACAGUAAAUCAGGGGGAUAGCUGGUACCGGAAGUGUUUUAAUGGUGGAAAAAAGAGUUUCUGCAGGAUCCAGGCUCCUGAUUUUUGCUCUUUCUAGCACACAUUUUUCUCUAUUUUGAACAGGAGGCUGGGCAGCCCUACCUGGCAGCUAGCCUGGGGAGAGGGCACCCCUUACCAUCCCUUCUGCCUGGGCAUGUCUGCAUAAAAACGGUUCCUAUUGUGCCCAACAUACUAAAAAUAAAAGUAUUUUUAGCUUUUUAAAGUUGCUGAUCAGAACUCCAGGCAAUGAAAAAUAUUGCUUGUGGUGAUGCAGGAAAAUUGUGUAGUGCUGCUCAUGUGAUGAUGAAAUGUCUGCUUUGGAAGCUAAAAUUACUGGAAAGAUGACCCAGUAAUAGCAGACAAACCCACAAAUCUAGCAGAUUUAAAGCAAAUACAAAGCAAUAUAUUUUUAUGUUGUUUGUUUUAAUGCAAUAGAUUAAAUGGUGGAGCUUGCUACAUGUGAUACUUGGGAUUCUAAAAAGAUAAACAGAUUGCAAAGAUAUUACAUAAAUUCAUGGAAGAUUGGUUGACUGAUGGCUAUUAAAAAUGACAGCUGACAUGCAGUUCUCACCUCAGGAAACCCAUAAAUCACUAGUUGUUCAAAUUUGGAAGAAUAAACCAGAGGAAGGCUCAUGGUCCCUGCUUCUCUGUUGUUUCCUGUACCUCCGUGAGUGACCACCACAGAGGCACUGCUCAGUGCUGGCCUUGCCCUGGAGCUGGCAUUGUGUGUCUGCUCCUGUGUCCAAAGGCAGAUAUUUGCAGAGUAAAUGUGGAGGUGAGAAGUUAUCUUCUCAUUUAUAUUUCAGCUGGGAGCCUUACAGUCAUUGUUAAUGUCAAUCCAAGCCAGGCAUGGCAUGGUCCUGCUUGUUCUCAGGCACACCGGCUGUGGUUCCCUCCACGCAGGGUAAAUAAUGUUGUUCUGCAGUCUUCAAAGUAGCCUCUGCAGAUGAGACACCUGCACAGAGUUACAUCUAGUGGAAAUCUAGGUGAGCACUCUACUGGAUAAAUUUUCGCUAUCCUCAGGGUAUAAGUUGCUUUAGACACAUAGUAAUAUCCUUAAUUAAAACACUCCCUUGAAGUAAAUAAUUAAAUGAGGGUUACAAUUAUGAGCCACAAAGUGACACAGGUGACAGGCUUACUUUAAGUAGGACAAUUAAACUGUAAAUUAAAAUUAAACUUCUCCAUGAAAUUAUAAUACUAUGUAAGGUAAUUACUUAAGAGUAAUAGGUGAGGUCUGUAUAUUACAUCAACAAAUCCUUUCAGAGAUCAUUAGAAAAAAGAUUUUCUACCCUGUUGUUUUCCAUCUGUGUGGUGUGUGUUUAUUUUUUUCAAUAUAUGUAUAUUUCCUAAUCCAAAUAGGAACAAAAGCCUAAACUACAUUUCCAGUUUUCUUCACCAAAAUGGGUAUUUAAUUGAAGAAGUUUAGUUUAAGUAACAUUUUCCUUUAGCAAACUUUUUUUUUUUUUUUAAAUUAGUGUAGCAGAGGUAUUGAACCUUGUGGGAGUGUUUGGUGCUGGACUGAUGCUGAUGUGUCUGAGCAGGGUUUGGCUGUGGACCUGAUCACUGCUAGAAAGUGCAAGUGCCAUUUUCACAGCGUCUUGCUGUGUGAACAAUAACGAGUUUUUGUUAUUGGCACCUUUGUGCAUGCUCUAAGAUUAUUUAGUACUAAUAACAUUAUUUAAUGUAUUCUACAUUUGAGCUUUUAAAAUUAUUCUCGUGAGAAUAAUAAUAAUACCUUAGUUUUAUUCUGUUUUAAAAGAAUAAAUUUGUCCUCCAUGCAAAAAGUGACCCUAGGCAGUACCUAAAUCAAGGAGUUAUGAACUAUGCAAAGUGUUUUCUAAGUGGCGCAAACAUGUUGUUUUUCCCCCUGUAUGUUUUUUAUUUAUUUAUUUAAGAGGAUGAAUAUUGUAGAAAAUACAAGCGGUAAACAAAAAUUCUGGGGAAAAAAAAGGCAUUCUAGUCCAAAUUCAAAAGACCUUUUCUGAAACAAAUGUGCUGAUUUUAUAGGAAAAGGUUUAUUUUCUGAAAAAACUGUGUUUGAAAAACACUGUAAAUUAGUGCUUCACUUGAAAUUAGAAAAAUAGGAUUGUUGUAUCCAAACAGUUAAUAGAACAAAGUAUAACUUAGUUUUGGAUUAAGUGGAUUUUAUAAAUCAGAUUUCAGGUGGUCUGUAGUCAGACUUAGGCAUUUUGAGCACCUCUGAUGUUGACUUCAGGGCCUCUUUGAGAGUUACAGAAGUUUUUCACUUUGCCCAAGGGAGUAAGGCAGCAGGUGUUAUGGGGUGCACUUCGGGCUACUCUUGUCUGUUAAUGACAAGAUUUAGCAAAUCCUGACUUGGAUUAAUAGUCAUUCCUUAUGUAAGUAGUCUGAAUUGCUUCAAGUUCCUCUUGUGAGUAAGAGUGAGAUGCACUCAGGUGAUGUGAAACCUCACUGUUCUGGUCAUGGUCAAGGGUGGCCGGGCUGGACAGAGCCUUCUUGGGAAGGAAAUGCUGCUGCGGCUUGCUGGUAUCUCAGCAGCUUUGCUGAUGUUGUUUAUCACAAAUUUAGAGUUGCUUACGUAACUUUGAAUGAUAUGCUAUGCUUGCAAGGUAUGUUGGUGGGGUAUUUUUAAUUUUUAUUUUUUUUUUAAUUUCAAGUUUUACUAAGGUAAAUAAUCAGAAAUUCUGAAAUGAUUAAAAAAAUAACUCUGAUUGUAGUACUUUUAAAUCCUUUGAUAACUGGACAAUUUGAGUCACUCUAGCCUGCUAAAUCAGAGCAUCAAAUGUUUUUCAUAUUUUACUAGGUCCUUUUAUGUUGCAAUUUUAAUCUCCUUGCAAUUUUAAAAUAUAUCUUCUAACGAUAUAUUUUACCCAAUUUAUUAAGAAAGUAAAAUAACCCCUUAUUCUGACAACUUUAUUACUCUCAAUUCAGAGGAAAAGGACCAGAUUUUUUUUUUUUUUUUUCAUCUUUGAAUGUAUGUUCUUAAAGCCUGGAACAAUUUAAAUUGCUUUUUAGGUACUGUACUCAGUUUAGUAAAAUAUUUAGUGCUAUUACGAUAGAGUAAACCAUUAGACUGCAAUUACACUAACACAGCACAGAGACUAAUAGUUCUGUUGGAACACAACAGUGAUGCAUGAUUGCCCCAUUAGGAUCGGAAGUCUUGAAGCACUGAGGUUAUUAAAAAAAAUUAAUCACUGUUACAGUCUUGAUUUUGUUAGAUUGUAAUAAAAAUGUCUUAUUUAUGGAUAUAACUACUACUGUGUCAACCUCUUAAGGGCAUAUUAAAAAAAAAUCUCCUAGUAAGGAUUCUUUGGAUCAUGAUUAUAAAGUCUUUUGCCUUGCUGCAGUUGGAAAUCCAGAACUGCAUCUUUACUUUCCUGAAAGACUUACUCAGGCAGGUUGUACUGAGGCAUGCCUUCAGGACUUAGGUGGGACUGUUUCCUGGUAUUUGUGAGAGCAGAGUUUUAAAGGUUACAAAAAUUUCAAGUCACAUUGCUGUCUAAAUUUUUUUUUUUAAAUACCCAAAUGUACAGCAAACGUAUUCACACAAUUUUGAAGACGGGUAUAGAUGGAAGGUAGGAGGAAAUAUUUUCUCUUUUGCUGUCUUAUCUAGUUUCUAAAAUGCUUAAUAAGACAGUUCAUAUGCAUGGUUGUGUUUCACAGCAACAGGGGAAUAAGAAGCAUUUUGAAAAUAAAAAGGAGACACAAAAAUUUUUAAAAAUGGGAUCCAGCACUUAGGAGCUGCAUUAACACUAGUAAUAGAAUCUAACUACUAAAUAAGAAAAGUGGUGGUAUCAAAGGAACCUACUUCAAAAAGCUGGAACAACUUCAGACCCAUCCUCCACAAAUCGUAUUUAAAGAAUCCCAGUCAUAGUACAUCAUUUGGGAUGCUUUCUGACAAGAUUUACCUACCCUUGUGCAGAUAAUCUGAAAGAACUGCUAUAUGAAAUGUAACUAAAAAAGUGCUGUAUAAAAUACUUCUGAAUAUUAGCAAGUGAAUGUAAAAGAGUCUGGUCCAGCCUUUCAGGGCAAAUCUGGUUCCUUCCAUGUACUAUAUAGAAGCACUGAUAACAGCUUUAUUUAAGUGAAGCUUGAGUAAAUCUGUGCUUUGGCAAGCAGCUGUAUGUACUGUGGCUUUGGCUGGACCCUCUGGCUGUUGUCCACACUGGCUGCUGCUGGGUUUUGAAGCUAUUAACUGACAUGUUUUGCUCUUUAAAACUAACUCUGCCUUUGAACACUGUAACUUUCUGAAGCCUGAUCUUUUGUGGCAUUCUUGCAGGGUUUUUUUGCCUGUUUUUCUAGAGACACGAGGUGGAUAUGGCCAUGCUGGUGUCUCCAGGGCACUUGUUAACUGCCAAAUGCGUUACUGCGGCUCAGCCACAUUUGAUGAUGUGGGACAGAGCUUCAAAGACCUUAAGUUUCCCCACACGAAGCUAUAGGCAGCCUAGCUGUUCAUGAUGCUGCUGAAGAGCCACUGGCUGCCUCUUCGCUCGUCCUUGGUUGGGCUGCAGGUCGGGCUGGUGCCCCUUGCCUGCCCACCUCCUGCAGCAUCCGUGCCACGGCCCAGGAUCUCAGGCAGCAGUUAGUGCCCAUCCUGUGCAUCCUUCCCAGUGCAGCUGGGAAGAUGGCACUCACCACUCUGGGGUGUGCACUGGCCUGGCCUUAGGGCCACACAGGGUUUGGGAAUGUCUUAUUUACCUGGCGCACCUCUGCUCCUGCCUGUACGUGUGACACCUGUCCCAGGCUGGGCACCUUCCAUCUAUUUCCCGUGUCCCUGGGGUACAGCUGUGUGCUUUGCUGGUGUCUUGUACUAGCGGAGCUUAUCUUAGCCCUGUCUUUCUUGAUUCCAUUUUAAUGCAGUUAGUUAGGAUUUUUAAGUACUUUGACUUGUCUUUUCUCAAAUACCAGCUGUCAGAAGCACACAUAGGUCUCAUGAAGCAGGUGCAGUUUUUGAACUGAUUUAAAUGAAGAAGAGAGAGACAUUUGGUAAAUAUUAAUUGGCAGACAUUCUGAGUAAGGACAGCAGAAAAAGACAUGAAUUUGGGAGUGUCUCACAAAUGGGAUUUUUUUUUUUUUUAAGAAAAAGGAAAGGGGAUGCAGAUAUUGUUUGAUUCUGUUUCUGAGGAGCCCUUCAUGAGACACUGUCCCUUUGAUUCAUUAAGUGGGCAGGAGCGUUUGUUAACGAAUUGUUUGGCACCUUACAGUCAUUAUUGUUUUGCAGUGUUGUUCUCAGUUUUAUUUCCUUCUGUAUCUUCUAAUAUUCGAAAGAAGUAGUAAAAAUGUUAACACAGGAAAUAAACAUGGAGAUUUUUUUUCCUCCAAGUAACAUACAUUGCACAAUGCCUAUCUGAGAAGUAUUGAACAAGUGAAUACCGAAGUCCCAGACCAUUUAAAAUGCUGCCUUGGUUUUAUGACAACUGUAUUACUGUUUACCAGUUUGUGGACUUUACCUUACAAGAAAAGCUUGUAGAUGAAAUUUUAUGGAUGGAGGUAAAGUAAGGAAAAUGUCCCUUUAUUUUCUGAUGAUACUGAAGUCUGAAAGAAGUAUUAUUGCCUGCAUGAACAAACAAAUGUUAUUUAUACUGGCUGGUACAUUGUUACACAUUUUUCGGCGCAACUUUUGCUUGUUACUGACUGUAAUAGGAACUUUGACAUUGGAAAGAACAACUCUUUGUGUCCAGACAGCAAGAAGCAUACAGAUUGCAUCAGUCUCUCUCCCCCUUGUGACUUCUCUUCAUUUGCAGACUAAAUCCUCUGGUAUCUGUGUGCUCAGAGUUUCACAUGGAGCCCUUCAAGACAAUGUGCCUGCUUUGUGGAGUAGGAGGAACGGCACACUUUUUCCAAGUGUCCUUGAGGCAGAGAACAACAGGACAGCACAUUGUCAUGCAUCCUCCUUUGUUUAUGCAGAUGGAGUGCAAGGCUCCUCUGCCCAGACACCCACCAUAAAGAGAGCAUCUUGGGAGCUGCAGAGCUCAGAGUACAGAGCCUUUCUUGAGUGUGUAUAUUAAAUGUGCGGAGAAGAAAAAGCUACCCAGUAUACCUGAAGUCACCUAUUCUGAGCCAGUGGUAUGAAGAGAGAAGCACCGUAUCUUUCCUAGCUGCAGUAUCUUGAACUGAGGUCUUGGGAUUAACCGAAAAGCUGGAGCAACAGUUCACAUUCUUAAGAAUAAAUCACAUAUCAUCAUCUCAUCAGUUAAACUUAAAAGGACCUCUGGCAUCUGUUCACAAAAGAGAACUGUGUUUCUGGAAACAUAUGGCAUCCAACACUUGAGUCCUGCAUUGCCCGUGCAACCAUUCCCAUAGCUACAAAUGAACAGCCCGAAAUAAAUUGUCGAUAAAUGCAGUAAACAACAGGCUGCUUUCUUUCAGAACAAGUUAUAUGAAAUCAUCAUCUAUUUGGCGACCUGCAAUAGUCCUGCUUUCCAAACAGUGGAAAGUUGAACUGCAGUUUACUCUUUUCACCCACAUGGCAGAGUAAGGAGCAAGAGCUCCUUCCCUGGGUCCGGCAGCCACUCCAGGAAAGACCAGGAGUGUAGAAGUGGAUUGCUGGAUUUCAUUUAUUGUCAUGCAUUACUUUACCUUGUCUUCACUUACCCAUGUUUUUGGCACAUCAGCAAUCUGUGAUGACUUUUCCCCUCUUCUUGGAGCUGAAGGAUGCCUGGGGAAAGGGACCAUUCUCCCACCAGAUGCUGAGCGUAUUUUGUGACACCCAACACAAAUGGAGAUGGACUUGGAGUAUCUGGCAGGGGAGGAAGGACCUGGAGGCUGAAGCUGUCUCAGCAGUGCAGGAGAAUCAGGAGUGUGGCUCUGCUAAGUUGUCUUCAUUUCACAGAUUAUCAAGGCAGUAUACCAUGGAUGCUUUCCGUAUUAUAAGAAAUGUAUGUAAAGAAAGUAACCAUAUAUAAGCUUCUCAUGAAGAUCAGCUGGGACCUUGUGUUAGAAAUCUCAUUUAAAACAACUGGAAAUGACUUCACCUUGGCCUAAGUCACAGUGUAACAGCCACCUCCUCCUCCUCCAGUCCUGCUGUGAGUUAAAGUUGUUUUCUGGGCCACUACUCUUCUGUGACAAAAGGUCUUGAACCUCUUUCUCAUGCCCCUUCUUUGCUUGGCUCAGCAUGUGCAUCCCUUGCUCUUUGCAAACAGACCUGCAUGCUUGCCUUAGCACUGUUCCCUUUUCUCAGCAGCUGGAGGAACUGGUACCUGCUCAGGCAUUGAGACUCACAUGCUUUAGUUCAUAAAUACCUGUAGUAAUUUUCUGUGCUCUUGAUUGUGGGGUUAUUUUCCACCUUAUAAAAGCAAGGUUUGAUAUGUCAGAUAAAUAGGACUCAGCUACUGGUGUAUUUAUCAAGGCUAAAUCAUUUCUGCCUGUGCUUGCAGAGUGAGGGCAAAUCAGGUGGAAAAGUAGACUAGUAACAAUUCAUCCUUGUUAUGCUGUGGUAUAAAUGACUACCAGAUUUUUGAAGCAGGGGAGAAUCAGCCCACCAUGAUGAACAGCACAAACACAAUGCAUUCGGGGGAGCCUGGUUUGGGUGGUGUGCCUCCUGAAUAGCUGGGAAAGAUGAAAUGCUAAUAGACCUUGUGAUCUGCUUCAGGUCAGGUAAAGGUCAUCAGACCACCAGAAACCUUAGUGCUUUCCAUGGAAAUUUUGUGGGAUCCCAUAGGAUCCUGCAGCAGAGACAACUAGUGUGGUUUGGUUACGUGGAGAAUCUCUGGUGGGAAACAGAGAGCUGGCAGAGUGGUAGGAGAGGCACGGGGAUGGCAUGCCAGAGGGGUGGCAAGGUGCUGGGAUACCUUCCAGGGCACAGUUAUCACCCCUUGCUUCCCCUUGCUUUUUCUUUUUCAUGUUAAACACCAUGGAAGUACACCUGUGGGACAAAGCUGCUUACUUUGCUACUGGUCAUCUCCUUGAUCUUCAGUCUCCUCCUAAAAGGCUGCAUCACCCUUUCCCAGCGCUGAACACCAGAUCUGUGCCUGUUGCUGCUACUUCAGAAAAGUAGGAAAGAAUCUUCUUAUAAGAGAUUAAAACAGCUGAAAACUACGAGAUGCCAUUUCAGCCUCUCCUGGAAGCGAAGACUUGAACAGUGGAAUUUGCAGAGCUGCCACACGAGUAUUUCAUCAGUGAAAAGACACAGAGAUGACCACAGCUGAAUCAUGAGGAAAACCCAUAACCUGGCCAAGGUUGGAUGGAAACACAAGGACCCAUUUCAUAACUAACAAAGUCUAAAAAUUCAGCUCCCUGCUGAAUUUCAUGUCUGGAUGGAAAAGAAACAUCUUUAUAAAACUGGCUACACAAGAGGUUGCUGAAAUCCAGCAUUUGUUUUCAGAUAUACAUUCACACUUUUUAAAGAAAUGAUUGUGAAAAGCCUGAGAACACUUCCAACCAACGCUGAUCCAAGGUUUUAUAGAAUUGGCACAAGCUAAGAAAAUACAGGGAAAUGCAGAGGAUCCAUGAAAGAGUAUUUCUCAAACAUGUGUGCUCAACCACCCAUGAGGACAGACCUCAGCUUGAGCUCUCAAGCUGGGACUGUGCGCAGAGGUGCCCAGGAGCAGGAUAAGACUGGAUCCAGCAUGGCAUCGGUGCUUCUGUCGCUCUGUCCAAGGUGCAGCAGGAGGGAGGUGUAGCGACGAGGAGGAGAGCUGACCUCUCUUCCCAGCACCCGUCAGGACCAUGGCGGUGAGCCCCACCACCACGCACAGACAAAAGCAACUUAGUAAAAGUGUCACCACUGUGCUCUGAGGGGUAAAACGAGAGUGAGUCUACAGAAGCUGCCUUUGUUUUUUGGAAACAAAAGCCACAGUGUUAAAAGGCUCCAGGAAUUUGAGCCGUUUAGAUGAGGAAGAGUCAUCAUCAUCAUCUAUUUUUUGUGUUAAGUAUUAUGAGCAUUCAUCUGAAAAAAUGCUAAAUGAGCUAUGCCAUGCUGCUGCUGGAAAGAUUUCAUUACAUGGAAAAAGUGCCAAGUACUCAUUUACUGUACACAAAAAUGCAAAAUUUGUCAGAAGAGUGACUCUCUUCAGCAGCUCUAGUAUUUGAAAGGAACGUUAAGAUUGGUGCUGUGGUAGGGGCCAAGCAUAAAUUUGUGAACUGGUGGUGGACGGAAAGACUAUCCUGGCAAAAGGGAAGGAAAAUGGUAUGAGAAGGUAGAAGAUGACAUCUGAAUGGCAACGAAUUUGGUAGAAGUGAGAUGCUUUACAAGAAAAGUAAUGAAAUAGGAGGAGAGCAGCUCACAGUCUGCAGGCUGUCCAGGAAGCACUCUUUGGGGGAAGCAGAAAUACUGUUCAUCUGUUGAAUGUACUGCAGGUCCCUGUUCCUUCAGGGGAACAAUAGUCAUGGACAUUAUUGUGAGGAGAUGAAAACAUGGGCACGAAGUGAGUCAUUAGGCAGAUGUUGAUGUAGUUCUGAAAACAAAGUCAAUGAGCUGCAGGGUCAGGCUUCUAGGGGGAUGGCAAGAUUUUGCUGGUACACAGAUCACAGAAAGACUGAAGCGCAGAGGGAGCUGCAUCCAAAAGUCGUGUGCAUGGGUGGACCUGGUAAGACUGCUGAGCAACAUUCAGUCGUGCCUGGACUGAAUUUCCUGGCACUGUGGAAGAUGUCUGAUAUAUGGAAAGAAGGCAAUGGCUUGGGAAAGCAGACCACAAGUUGUCAUUGGUAGCAUAGCCCAAAUCACAGCCUGGUCCUGCUUUUGGUGAGCUCCUGGCAAGAACUAGUGCUGACUUGGGAGCAGGUUUAACCCAGCUCCUGGGACAGGACUCACCUGCCAAUGUAUGGAGAUAACUCAAGCCACAGCAGGAUCCUGGUGAGCAAAAGAUGCUCUGCACCUUCUGAACAGAAGGCUCUGCCAAGUAAUACUGCAGAUCCCAAUGGUAGCAUGCCUAUGGAUUUCAUAUGGAUUUCAUGCAGCUUUAACAAGCUUCUGCACAGAGAAAACAUCCUGCAUUUGGCAGGAUAAUAGCUGAAUUGCUCAAAGUCCAAUUACAAUCAAAUCUUGCUAAUUUGUACCCAGAACUGCAGAUUCAGUGAGAAUGACAAAACUUUAGCAAGUUACGGAGUAAGUGGUACACAUAUUUUAAGAAGUAUGGCUAAUGCAUUAUAGAAUUGAUUAUCGCGUUGCGAACUUUUUCACACUCUGCAAAAGGAUGAAUGCUCUUCAUUUAUUUUGACACGGUUUGUUUCUUAAACAUCUUUUGUUACAGCUGAUAAGUUUGUACUGUUUAAAAAAAAAUCAUGAAUUGUGUUAAAGGAGAUGUUGUAAUAGCCCCUUCUUAGCAAGCCUGUGCCAUUUUUUUGGGUACAGACUGGCAGGAAUGGAUAGAAGUGAACAUGCAGAACUUCAUUCUGCUCACAAAAGUUGCUGACAUAGCCAGUGCCUGGCAGGUCCUUUCUGCAAAGCAGCAGUACUAAUGCCUCCAUUUGUCUUCAGGCUGGGGAACAAUUUUUAAAACAAAGAAAUAAACAAACACAGUAGCUCUCAUUUGGCAUAAUAUAUUUAGUAAAAACAAAAAACAACAACAACAACAAAAAAGAGUUUAAAAGGAAUCUUUUCUAUCAUGAGAAGGGUAUGUGCCACGUGGAAGAAGUCCAACCAAAUGCUUGUUACUAUUCUUAAAACCUUGCUGGUGUUUAUUUACUGCUAAUGUAUUGUGUCUCAUUGAAUAAAAAAUACUGUUUGGGGGAAAACAGAUCAGAUUUGCAGGCCAGAGGUGCUGCAAAAAUGGGAGGCGAACCUCAAUACAGCAACCUUGAGGCAAGGCUGCCCUUCAUUGAAUGCCAGAUGUGCAGUGAGGGUCGAUACCAUCACCCCCGGCUCUCUGUUUCGGACAGUGAGCAAGGCAAAGGCCAAUUCAUGGUAUGAAUCUUCAUAGGGACACUUGAGCCGCCCCGGGCUGCAGACAGGCAUUUUGUUUUUUUUGCACAGUGGUUGCAGAUACCUGUAUCUGCCUCUGUACCACUUGUAAAUCUAUAAUUAAUUACCAUAGGUUAAACAGACUGAGGAAAUAACUGGAGUCUUUUUGAGGAAAUGUAAUUGUCAAUAUAGCAAGACCCCUGAAUUAUGGAUUCAGCAAUGAUUGCUAUUACAGAGAUGGUGUUAGAUGAGUAUCAUUUUGUCAAUUAACCUUUUACAAUUCAUAGUUUAUUAUAGCCUAGAACAAUCCGUUUUUAAAGACUUUUUUUUUUAAGCAUGACUCUGGCUGUGUUAAACACUUACUACCUGCUCUUUAGCCUUUGAACAUAGACUGUUAUACUUGCUUAGCAUAAUGUACAACCCUAGGUCACAAAGCUAAAGCAAACCCUUUUGAUUUAUGGAGGAUUUCAUUUUAGCUGAAUAUUUUGAAGAAUUUCCUAACUUUCUGAUGGCACGUCAAGCCAGCCGGGGAUACCAAUGUAUCUAUGUUCCUGGGUCCAAACACUUUACCCUAUUAUAAUUUAAGCUUUAAUUUUAUAACCUAUAGUGCCCUGGCUACUUAACAAAAUUAAAAAAGCAUUUAGUCAAAAUUGUGUAACAGAGAAUUCUUCUGUUACAGCAGAUAAAAUGACAAUGACAAAGUAAUUAUCAUAAAAAUUAUUCUUUUCUAAAAAUACCCCACUUCUAAAAAAAAUCUCUACUGUAGAAAAGGGAACAGACAGUAGUUUGAAGAAAAACACUUGGACAAAUGGCAAUAUGGUUUCUUUGCUAUACAAAUACAACUAUUUUUCUACUAGAAAUAGUGUUGGUGUCUCUGCAAUGGUAGAAGGGUAGGAGAGAGGCAAGCUUUGCAGGGAGAGCUAAUUUUCUUAUUAGAACAAUUUGUAUAGGUGAAAACAAAUCAAACAAAACCAAACAGAAAUGUUUUCAGGGGGGUAGUGUAUCUGAAGCUUUUCCUUCUUUUUUCUUUUUUUUGUCUCGACUGUAUCUGCUGCUCUAAUAAAAGAUAUUGUCUCUGCCUGCAAA
Long non-coding RNA from Columba livia (rock pigeon), 16451 nucleotides. RefSeq lists it as uncharacterized. Lineage: Eukaryota; Metazoa; Chordata; Aves; Columbiformes; Columbidae. The transcript has 17 exons. The record is from RefSeq and is a predicted model, not a curated record.